GAGUUUGAUCCUGGCUCAGAACGAACGCUGGCGGUUGCCUAACACAUGCAAGUCGAACGAGACCUGGGUCUAGUGGCGCACGGGUGCGUAACGCGUGGGAACCUGCCUUUAGGUUCGGAAUAACUCCCCGAAAGGGGUGCUAAUACCGGAUAAUGUCUUCGGACCAAAGAUUUAUCGCCUUUAGAUGGGCCCGCGUUGGAUUACUAUUUGGUGGGGUAAAGGCUCACCAAGGCGACGAUCCAUAGCUGGUCUUAGAGGAUGAUCACCACACUGGGACUGAGACACGGCCCAGACUCCUACGGGAGGCAGCAGUGGGGAAUAUUGGACAAUGGGCGAAAGCCUGAUCCAGCAAUGCCGCGUGAGUGAUGAAGGCCUUAGGGUGUAAAGCUCUUUUACCCGGGAUGAUAUGACAGUACCGGGAGAAUAAGCUCCGGCUAACUCCGUGCCACCAGCCGCGGUAAUACGAGGGAGCUAGCGUUGGUCGGAUAUACUGGGCGUAAAGCGCACGUAGGCGGCGCAGCAAGUCAGGGGUGAAAUCCCGGGGCUCAACCCCGACUGCUUGAAACUGAGUGCUAGAAUUUGGAAAGCGAGUGGAUUUCGAGCGUACAGGUGAAAUUCGUAGAUAUUGAAGAACACCCAGUGGCGAAGCGACUGCUUGACAA
This 662-nucleotide ribosomal RNA is filed under the name uncultured Alphaproteobacteria bacterium. Its description in RNAcentral is "bacterial SSU rRNA". It matches the Rfam family "Bacterial small subunit ribosomal RNA", at positions 9 to 737 of the family's 1533-position model. The record is from RNAcentral. Lineage: Bacteria; Pseudomonadati; Pseudomonadota; Alphaproteobacteria.